Molecule: long non-coding RNA, 586 nt
Organism: Ipomoea triloba (trilobed morning glory)
Lineage: Eukaryota; Viridiplantae; Streptophyta; Magnoliopsida; Solanales; Convolvulaceae
Exons: 3
Source: RefSeq, a predicted model, not a curated record
AGGAAGCAGACAUAGAGAAAUUAUCACCUACCUAUCUAUCUACCAGGAUGAGUAAGUAGUGACUCAUUUGCUUUUCUUAUUCUCUUCUUUGAUAAGCUCAGCACUGAGAUCAGAUCAUAUCAGAGCAGAGCAUGAGUCACCAACACCAACACCAUCACGGUCCUCCCCCGCCGCCACACCCUCACCAUCCUCAUCCUCCUCCGUCGCAACCGCACCAUCCACCGCCUCAUCCCCAUCAUCCACCGCCUCCUCCUCACCAUCACCACCACGAGCGAGAUGGCUGCUGUUCAUGUUCCAUUCUCUGACCACUGUCGUCCAACUCUGUUUGGCUUCUCCAUCUCUGAUCUGUACUGUUACAUUGUUGUUGGAGUUGGGUGCUACCGCUUUUUAGCAGACCAAUCAAAUAAAUAUAUCUUGUAAUCCCCCCCUAUGUAUGUAUGUUAAUAUUAUAUUAUUAGCGUAUCAUAUCAGAGUACGUACUUACGACAUUGGAUCAGAGUAUGUAUGAUAUGCAUAUAUGCAUGUAUGUGCCGAAAUUAGUAUUUUGAAUUCAUUGAAAUAACGUACUUACGUACACAAUUGCUCA